GUGUGUGACUCCUAUGAAGCCGGAAGCGGGAAGUGGGAAGUGUGUACGAUCAUGGAGGACACGCGUGGCGUUCUGCCGUCUCUGCCGAAACAUUCCUAUUGGUUUGAUUUCUGGACGUUUCUGGUGUUUGAUGUCAUUCUUUUCUUAAUCAUUUACUUCGUCAUUCCCUGAGCGAGGUAAACUUGUUCACCUCUGGUCCAGUUCACCGUGAGAUCCUGAAACACAGCUAAUAUGGAUGGGAACGGUAGCUGCUGCUGGACUCAGUCUUGUCCCGUACUGAAACAAACAUUUCCCACUUUACUCACCUGCUUUUCUGCAGACAGAUUGAAAUGCAUUUAAUAACCCACAACUAUGAGGAAUCACUCAAAAUGACAAGAUACAUAUUAAUCUUUCUGGAUGCUUUGUACACAUUGUCCUCUAACAUAAUAUGAAUGUUAGCCAUGAGUGUGUGCACAAAUGUAUGUAUGUAUGUAUGAGAAAUUGAGUAAUUAAAUCUGUGUGACUUUUAAA
Long non-coding RNA from Ctenopharyngodon idella (grass carp), 510 nucleotides. RefSeq lists it as uncharacterized. The record is from RefSeq and is a predicted model, not a curated record. NCBI's taxonomy places the organism in Eukaryota, Metazoa, Chordata, Actinopteri, Cypriniformes, Xenocyprididae. The transcript is spliced from 3 exons.